AGUGGCGGAAGGGUUAGUAAUACAUGAAUAACCUGCCUUUUACCUGGGGAUAACGGCUGGAAACGGCCGCUAAUACCGAAUGAAGUGUUUGAGGGGAAACCUUCGAACAUUAAAGUAGGGGACCGUGAAAACGGCCUGGCGGUAGAAGAGGGGUUCAUGGGAUAUCAGCUAGUUGGUGAGGUAAUGGCUCACCAAGGCUAAGACGUCUAGGCGGAUUGAGAGAUUGACCGCCAACAUUGGGACUGAGAUACUGCCCAGACUCCUACGGGAGGCUGCAGUCGAGAAUCUUUCGCAAUGAGCGAAAGCUUGACGAAGCGACGCUGCGUGAGCGAUGAAGGCCUUCGGGUCGUAAAGCUCUUUCGCGUGGGAACAAGAGAGAUCUAUGAACAAUAGGUUGAUUUGAGGGUACCACGAUAAGAAGCACCGGCUAACUCCGUGCCAGCAGCUGCGGUAAUACGGAGAGUGCAAGCAUUAAUCGGAAUUACUGGGCGUAAAGGGCGCGUAGGCGGAUAUGUAAGUCAGAUGUGAAAUUCCGAAACUCAAUUUCGGAGCUGCAUUUGAAACUGCAAGUCUAGAGGAUUGACGGAGAAAACGGAAUUCCACGUGUAGCGGUGAAAUGCGUAGAUAUGUGGAAGAACACCUGUGGCGAAAGCGGUUUUCUAGUUUAUACCUGACGCUGAGGCGCGAGAGCAAGGGGAGCAAACAGGAUUAGAUACCCUGGUAGUCCUUGCCGUAAACGAUGCAUACUUGAUGUAGACGGGCUCAACCCUGUUUGUGUCGAAGCUAACGCGAUAAGUAUGCCGCCUGGGGAGUACGCUCGCAAGAGUGAAACUCAAAAGAAUUGACGGGGGCCCGCACAAGCAGUGGAGCAUGUGGUUUAAUUCGAUGCAACGCGAAGAACCUUACCCAGGCUCGAAAUGCAGAUGACGUUAACAGAAAUGUUAACUUUCGUAAGAACAUUUGUAUAGGUGCUGCAUGGCUGUCGUCAGCUCGUGCCGUGAGGUGUUGGGUUAAGUCCCGCAACGAGCGCAACCCUUAUCAUUAGUUGCCAACACGCGAGGUGGGGACU
Molecule: ribosomal RNA, 1069 nt
Filed under: uncultured bacterium
Lineage: Bacteria
Description: bacterial SSU rRNA
Rfam family: Bacterial small subunit ribosomal RNA
Source: RNAcentral